This 1130-nucleotide long non-coding RNA is filed under the name Scleropages formosus (Asian bonytongue). RNAcentral describes it as "lncRNA (ENSSFOG00015028104.1)". The record is from RNAcentral. Lineage: Eukaryota; Metazoa; Chordata; Actinopteri; Osteoglossiformes; Osteoglossidae.
GUUUCCCUCAAAAGUUCCGCCGCGAAGCGCUUCGGCUUCGAAGACCGCAGGAAUUCGGCAAAAAACGUCCGCAAUUCCAAACAUGUUCCGCUCGCUUGCGUGGAAAAAGACACGCGGGAAGGAGGGAAACUCGGCAAAAAAAAAAAAAAAGAAAAACACAACGGGAUCGAUCGUGCGGUGCGAAUGAGAGGGUUCGUCUCUACAGUUGUGCGUUUAGGCUGCGCGGAGAGACGAAACACGGCGAUACAUGUCAUGAACGUGAAGGCGAAACACAUCAAUAAACGGAGAGUAGGACGUCGUGCGCGAAACCCACCUGUGUGGAGUCGGAGCCCAGCGCCCGACACGGGACGGGGGACACGAGGGAACACGGGGGGCUUCGCGUGGGAUUCUUCAAGGACUCGGAGAAGAGGCGCAGAAGCGGCGGCCCCGCGGCUGGAAUCCCAGGAAUGGGGAGAGGUAUGACAGGAAGGCCGGACUCGUCUCGGAGCGAGAGAGAGCGCCGCGGGACAGAGCGAGGCAGCGCGUAAUGAAGCCGCGCGCGCGGGUCCGAGGGGAGGGAGGGAGGGAGGGAGGCAGGGAGAGACGGCCUGGGGUCCGGAAAGGAAAAGAAACACCGCCUCGGCUGGGGAGAAAGGAAAUGGACACGGAGAAAAACAGCUCUGGGGAUGGGGAUUGUCACCGCUUCAUAUGGCAGUAUAAUUCGUAACGAGCGCGCGCGUGUGUGUGUAUGUGUUUGUGUAAGUGAGAGAGAGAGAGAGAGAGAGCGAAUACAAUAACGCACUUUCCGCUGAAAACAAAAAGCUACUUAUGAAAACUAACUGGCAGCCGCAGGGAGUGUAGCGGAACUGUUGCCCCGUUUACACACUGUAGCGUAACGGACUUCUCACAUGAAUUCGGCGCCCUGUCUGUCUCACGACCAACAGUCUGAGAGAAUUCUACACCGAAAUGCUACACACCCCGUUACACGCACGUAAUCAGCCGCUCUUCCCUUUCGCCCUGUUAUUACCCGCUUUCCUCAUGUGUAAAAUUCCUUCAAAUUUGACAAAUGUGUACAGUGUACGACGUUGCGUGACGCCCAGUUUACCGAACUGCUGAAUAAAACUAAAAGGCAAAGGUUUCCGUUAUGUCCU